This 376-nucleotide RNase P RNA is filed under the name Puniceicoccales bacterium. RNAcentral's name for it is "RNase P RNA component class A". It matches the Rfam family "Bacterial RNase P class A". From Rfam's summary of the family: Ribonuclease P (RNase P) is a ubiquitous endoribonuclease, found in archaea, bacteria and eukarya as well as chloroplasts and mitochondria. Its best characterised activity is the generation of mature 5'-ends of tRNAs by cleaving the 5'-leader elements of precursor-tRNAs. The record is from RNAcentral. Lineage: Bacteria; Pseudomonadati; Verrucomicrobiota; Opitutia; Puniceicoccales.
GGAGGGAAUUCGAUGGAGAAGGAUUAUGGAAAGAAAGUUUCAUUCCAUAGUUUUUCUUCAUAGGAAAGUCCGGACACCGCAGAGCAGGAUUCCGCAUGAAAGUGCGGGGGUUAUCGUUAAAGCGAUGGCUACGGAAAGUACAACAGAAAGAAUACCGCCGCAGGGUAAGGGUGAAAAGGUGAGGUAAGAGCUCACCGGGUAUAUGAGUAAUCAUUACCGCAUUGGAAACCCAAUCCGGUGCAAGACAGAAUAGGGAACGGGGUUGCUCGCCCAAUGGUUCCGGGUUUGUCGCAUCUCCUCCGGGAGAAGCAAUGCAGGUUGCUAGAGAAAUGAAUUCCGGGCCGUAAGGCUUACAGAAUCCGGCUUAUAUCCAAGC